This 227-nucleotide ribosomal RNA is filed under the name uncultured bacterium. RNAcentral describes it as "partial 16S ribosomal RNA". It matches the Rfam family "Bacterial small subunit ribosomal RNA", at positions 109 to 334 of the family's 1533-position model. The record is from RNAcentral.
AGUAACGCGUGAGGAACCUGCCUCAAAGAGGGGGACAACAGUUGGAAACGACUGCUAAUACCGCAUAAGCCCACGGCUCGGCAUCGAGCAGAGGGAAAAGGAGCGAUCCGCUUUGAGAUGGCCUCGCGUCCGAUUAGCUAGUUGGUGAGGUAACGGCCCACCAAGGCGACGAUCGGUAGCCGGACUGAGAGGUUGAACGGCCACAUUGGGACUGAGACACGGCCCAG